GAAGACAGCCAUAAUAGGUUGGAAACACCUGUUCCCUUUCCGAACACAGAAGUUAAGCUUCCUAUGUUGGCGAUUUUAGUAUCCUACAAGAUGCGAAUUCGUCAAGCUGUCCUCU
This 115-nucleotide ribosomal RNA is filed under the name Candidatus Pacearchaeota archaeon CG10_big_fil_rev_8_21_14_0_10_34_12. The record is from RNAcentral. Lineage: Archaea; Nanobdellati.